RNAcentral lists this small nuclear RNA (23 nucleotides) under Arabidopsis thaliana (thale cress). RNAcentral describes it as "snRNA_06104". Lineage: Eukaryota; Viridiplantae; Streptophyta; Magnoliopsida; Brassicales; Brassicaceae. The record is from RNAcentral.
AUCUGAUGAGACACCGUCAGAGU